CAGCAUUGGAUGCAUAUAAAGACAAGAAAACUGGAGAACUUUUGGGUCCACAACAUUCGUUUAAUGUGGAGUUUGCUCAAGACAACAUGCAACAAAUAAGUGAUAGCCUUGAUUGCGGACUGUUCGUAGUUGUAUAUGCAGAAUUUCUGAGUGACAAAAUCAACAUGUCAUGUAAUAGUUUUGAGAGUAGCUAUCUUCGCAAAAGAUAUGCGAUACUUUUAUUGAAGUAUGGUCUCGACAAGAUGAAUGCUGGAUAUGUUAGCAACAGUGAUGACCCUUCAAGAAUGAAGAAUGUAUUAAACCCAUCAUCUGAAGAUGAAAUUGUUAAUGUAGGCUAGUUAGUUUUCAAUGUUUGAUUUUUUUUGUUUUGUUUUUUGGAGUUAAACAAGAUGUUUGAAGUAUUUAUUAACAUAACAACACAUAUUGUUAAAUUAUGAAAGUGUUUUGAUUUUUAAAA
Molecule: long non-coding RNA, 457 nt
Organism: Solanum pennellii
Lineage: Eukaryota; Viridiplantae; Streptophyta; Magnoliopsida; Solanales; Solanaceae
Exons: 2
Source: RefSeq, a predicted model, not a curated record